This 228-nucleotide ribosomal RNA is filed under the name uncultured Bacteroides sp. RNAcentral describes it as "partial 16S ribosomal RNA". It matches the Rfam family "Bacterial small subunit ribosomal RNA", at positions 383 to 607 of the family's 1533-position model. The record is from RNAcentral. Lineage: Bacteria; Pseudomonadati; Bacteroidota; Bacteroidia; Bacteroidales; Bacteroidaceae.
CUGAACCAGCCAAGUAGCGUGAAGGAUGACUGCCCUAUGGGUCGUAAACUUCUUUUAUUAAAGGAAUAAAGUCGGGUAUGCAUACCCGUUUGCAUGUACUUUAUGAAUAAGGAUCGGCUAACUCCGUGCCAGCAGCCGCGGUAAUACGGAGGAUCCGAGCGUUAUCCGGAUUUAUUGGGUUUAAAGGGAGCGUAGAUGGAUGUUUAAGUCAGUUGUGAAAGUUUGCGG